RNAcentral lists this long non-coding RNA (966 nucleotides) under Ictidomys tridecemlineatus (thirteen-lined ground squirrel). Its description in RNAcentral is "lncRNA (ENSSTOG00000032502.1)". Lineage: Eukaryota; Metazoa; Chordata; Mammalia; Rodentia; Sciuridae. The record is from RNAcentral.
GAGUGACAGGGUACAGGGCGGAUUGGGCUUAAUCCUCAGCAGCAGGCAGGAAGGGCACGUUCCUUAAGAAGCUUAUCAGGGGCCCAAGCGAGUGGGCGGCAGUAGGUCUGCCUCUGCAGCUGCGUCUUUUUUAUCUAUUCCUUUCCUUAAAAAAUAAAAAACAAAAAAACGGAUGGGAAAGGGUUUCUUUUACUUCAUGGAACGAUGUUUCCACUGAGAUGAGAAAUUGAAAGAGGAGGCUGAGCCCGGAGGCCGGUCGGGAGAGGCGCCUGCAGUCUGUGCAGUAACUCCAGCCUCAAUGGUCCCCCUCUGGGGCCGGAAAAUGGCUCUCAGUGAUCCCUGCUCCAAACCCUUGUAUAAUGUGGGAAGCCACAGCGGUGUCUCGGGAGGGAGGCCUUUCUGAUAAAGCUGGUGGCCAAGGACGAGGCUGCUGAGGAGAAACCGCCUGGUCACUUCCCAGGUGUAGCCCGGGACUCUGCAGGUGCGCACAGCCGGUCACGGAAGUGGACCCUGUGUGGGCUCACGGGGGACUGGCUGUUUCUUUUGGACACCGUAGGAUGUGGAAGAACUGUGGAUGGCCGUGGAGGUGACGAGGGACUUGGGGCACUUGAAGCCCCUGUGUGCCAGGGGACUGAAUCAACCGACUCAGCAGGAGAUGGCGGAAAGAAGGCCGAAUCAGCUGAGGGGCAGCACAGACCCGAGAAAGGCCAAAGGGGAGGACUAUUUGCUGGACAGAGAGGCCUCGGGGAGACCAUCCAGGCCCUGGAGUUGCUGAUGGGAGGAAGCCAUAGGCAGGUGACUGGAGCCCUUCAGAUGGACUCUGGAUUCUUCACAUGGGUUUUCCUGAUUCACCUCCAGAGCUGCCAAGCAGGGAUGAAGCAGGACUGGAGAUACGAGCAAGGACACCUCUCCAGCGCCCAUCUCCUCUACUUCUGGGCUGCUGCGUUUGGACCGUGGGCUGUCUGA